GAUGAACGCUGGCGGCGUGCCUAAUACAUGCAAGUCGAACGAAACUUCUUUAUCACCGAGUGCUUGCACUCACCGAUAAAGAGUUGAGUGGCGAACGGGUGAGUAACACGUGUGCAACCUGCCCAAAAGAGGGGGAUAACACUUGGAAACAGGUGCUAAUACCGCAUAACCAUAGUUACCGCAUGGUAACUAUGUAAAAGGUUGCUAUACUACCGCUUUUGGAUGGGCCCGCGGCGCAUUAGCUAGUUGGUAGGGUAAAGGCUUACCAAGGCAAUGAUGCGUAGCCGAAUUGAGAGGUUGAUCGGCCACAUUGGGACUGAGACACGGCCCAAACUCCUACGGGAGGCAGCAGUAGGGAAUCUUCCACAAUGGGCGAAAGCCUGAUGGAGCAACGCCGCGUGGGUGAAGAAGGUCUUCGGAUCGUAAAACCCUGUUGUUAGAGAAGAAAGUGCGUGAGAGUAACUGUUCACGUUUCGACGGUAUCUAACCAGAAAGCCACGGCUAACUACGUG
This 512-nucleotide ribosomal RNA is filed under the name uncultured bacterium. RNAcentral describes it as "partial 16S ribosomal RNA". It matches the Rfam family "Bacterial small subunit ribosomal RNA", at positions 28 to 507 of the family's 1533-position model. The record is from RNAcentral.